RNAcentral lists this long non-coding RNA (252 nucleotides) under Prunus persica (peach). Its description in RNAcentral is "long non-coding RNA (PPER_LNC002857)". Lineage: Eukaryota; Viridiplantae; Streptophyta; Magnoliopsida; Rosales; Rosaceae. The record is from RNAcentral.
UUGUACUUGGUGUUUUUCCACGAGUUUCAAAAUCAAACCAAUUUCGAUAUCCUUAUAAUUAAGCAAACAUCCUGUUUUCAAAAUUUCGUAUAUUAUCUUGUAAACUCGAGAGAAUAUAUGAUUUGGACAUCAAUUCCAAAAGUCAAACUAAUUUCUGUUUAGAGCAUCCAUAAUGAACUACCUAAACCAUCCUCCUUAUAUCAAAUUUAAGGAGGAAGUGAGAAAACCUACCUCCAACCAUACUCCCUAUCC